AUUGAACGCUGGCAGCAGGCCUAACACAUGCAAGUCGAACGGUAACAGGAAACAGCUUGCUGUUUCGCUGACGAGUGGCGGACGGGUGAGUAAUGUCUGGGAAACUGCCUGAUGGAGGGGGAUAACUACUGGAAACGGUAGCUAAUACCGCAUGACGUCGCAAGACCAAAGAGGGGGACCUUCGGGCCUCUUGCCAUCGGAUGUGCCCAGAUGGGAUUAGCUAGUAGGUGGGGUAACGGCUCACCUAGGCGACGAUCCCUAGCUGGUCUGAGAGGAUGACCAGCCACACUGGAACUGAGACACGGCCCAGACUCCUACGGGAGGCAGCAGUGGGGAAUAUUGCACAAUGGGCGCAAGCCUGAUGCAGCCAUGCCGCGUGUAUGAAGAAGGCCUUCGGGUUGUAAAGUACUUUCAGCGGGGAGGAAGGGAGUAAAGUUAAUACCUUGACUCAUUGACGUUACCCGCAGAAGAAGCACCGGCUAACUCCGUG
Molecule: ribosomal RNA, 490 nt
Filed under: uncultured bacterium
Lineage: Bacteria
Description: partial 16S ribosomal RNA
Rfam family: Bacterial small subunit ribosomal RNA
Source: RNAcentral